RNAcentral lists this ribosomal RNA (399 nucleotides) under Praticolella griseola. Its description in RNAcentral is "partial 16S ribosomal RNA". It matches the Rfam family "Archaeal large subunit ribosomal RNA", at positions 1892 to 2638 of the family's 2987-position model. The record is from RNAcentral. Lineage: Eukaryota; Metazoa; Mollusca; Gastropoda; Stylommatophora; Polygyridae.
CUGUUUAUCAAAAACAUAACUGUAGGAAUGAAUCUACAGCGAUUUCUGCUCCAUGUGAGAAUAAAUAGCCGCAGUACCCUGACUGUGCUAAGGUAGCAUAAUCAAUAGGCUUAUAAUUUGAGUCUGGUAUGAAAGAAGAUUUGGGGGUUGGCUGUCUCUGCUAAAGAGUUGGAAUUUUUUUAAAAAGUGCAAAAACUUUUAUAUAAACAAUAGACGAGAAGACCCUAGAAAUUUUCUAAUUUAUUUUGUUGGGGCGACAAAGUAACAUUAAACUUACUUUAAUUUGUUGGCAGCAAAUUAUGCUGGAUAAUUAAAUUACUCUAGGGAUAACAGCAUAAUUUCUUAAAAGUUUGNGACCUCGAUGUUGGACUAGGUGUUCUUAAGUCUAGAAGAUUUAAG